Molecule: ribosomal RNA, 875 nt
Filed under: Triticum aestivum (bread wheat)
Lineage: Eukaryota; Viridiplantae; Streptophyta; Magnoliopsida; Poales; Poaceae
Description: partial small subunit ribosomal RNA
Source: RNAcentral
CUAGGGGCGACAAAGGGCCCCAACCUCUUGGUGCCCGGCUCAACCGGGUUCCUCUAGGUAACGCAGUAAACCUGGCGUGGUGAGCUCCGAUUGGGACGGGCUAGGUGCAGGAAAGGAGCCCCUCCUUUCGGUGCUGGGCUCUCCAGCCCCUCCUUUAGGUACCGAGCUGUCUCCGCUCGCUUGAGGUCGCAGUAACUCGUUCUAGGUCCCGGGGGCUGGCGGAGGCUCGAGGAGGCGGCCGCUGUCUUCACUGAGAGGGCUGGGAGAGGGAGGCCACAAUUCCUAGGUUGAGGCGGGGAGGUCGCUGCCGCUGCCUGGUGCCAGCAGUGGCAAGAGGAAGGGGCCUAGGUUGGAGGCGGAGCUUCGAGGUCAGGGGAAGCCGCUGCCGCUACCGCUGCCGCAGUCAAGGCGCCUGCAUAAGAUAGAGUAGACUAGUUCCCGAAAGUUGAGUGAUAUCGUAGAACUGCAACAACAGAAAUAGCCAGUAACUCUUCUUUUUCUUUCAAGUUAGUUGUACUUCGACAACCAUGGACUACAACUACGCCUCCUCUCUUUUCUGGACUCAUCCCGAUCACUAGACGCGGAACGUCAAGUAGAACAAGCUUUCAUAGAGACGGAGCCUGUACCGUUAACUAUUAAGUUAUGUAAAACAGCACGUGUUUGAACUUGCUACUACCGUGUACUUUUAUCAAAUCCGGUUGUGUGCUAGCGUUACUUUAUACCGGGCCGACUAUAAACUUGGAACCACUUAACUACCAAUAGUCAACAUUAUAAAGAAUUUUAAGGUCAAAUAUCCUUAAAACUUUAAAACAUAAAAAAAACUUAAUAAACACCUAGUCUCGGGAACCUAGAAUUAACGAUGUUAUGUAAUAGUC